AUAUAAACAUGUAAUGGGACAUUACUAUAUUAUUUUCCCUAUUUUCUAAAAUCUUAUUCAAGCCGCAAACCCCAUCCGAAGUUCUGAACACCCUCAUUUCCCACUUACACCCUUCCAUCGUUCCUGCUCACCAUUUCAGUUGUUCAUGCUCGUCGCUCGCUAUUAUUGUGCUAGGUCGUUUCUCCUCCUUCUUCCAUUCUAAUUUUUCAGUUCUAAUUUGUAAUUACUCUAAUAUUGUCUCGUUUUGUUUAAUCUAUUUUAAGGUAAAACCGACGACCGUUGAUUGCGGCUCAUCCUAGAAAUUUCCAUUGAAGAACAUGGAAUCUCAAUUUCGAAAUUAUGAGGCAUAUCAAACAUGGAUACACCUAUGGCGUCAGUGAAAGUGUCUUUGCUGCUAGAGAAACCAACUCACUGAAGGAUAUCAGUUGGCAUUUCCACCAUAGCUGGUGCGUAUUGAGAGAUCGAAAAUCAAGUCAGUGAAGUCACUAAAGGUAUGUUAAGCUAAUACGGCAUCUCUUUCAAUCAUCUGCUACUACUUUCCGUAUCUGAAUUGUGUUUGCAUACUUAUAUAAGUAGAAUUUCUUAGGCACAAUCAGAUAUCUUCCCAUAGGAUAUACACUAAAGGUAUGUUAACCCAAAAAAAAUAGUACUUGAAGAUCCAAACAAAGCUUAAAAGUGCAAGUACCCUGACCAUAAAACCAAGAAUCCGGACACCUGCAUGGUAUUUUUGUUGCUACUCUUUAGCAGGUCCCUUAAAUGUAUCUGAGUAAAUUCAGAAGUAAAAACAAAUUAACAGAACAAAGAAUGGAACAAUGUAAAGAUAAUUAGUAGUAACAUUUACACUUCAGCUUCAGAUCCAUUUCUGAUGCAUUCGGAAACACACUGUGCAUGUACUUUUCUAUAUUCCUUUCAUCUUUAAGUUACUUUUUCUUUUCACCAUCUUUUUUGCCAUUUUUUUUUGUUGAGAUACAAAAAUUAAAUGCAGGGCGAAAAGCCGAAAAAAGAGCUCAACAGCUAAACAUGUACGAAUUAUUGACAAAACAUCAAAACCCAAUCCCCAUAGGCCAUAGGUUAGCUACUUAGAACAAACCCUCUAGGAGGUACCCCUCUAAGUAGCUUGGGCAAUACAAUCAGGCUAGAAAAAAAGCGCAAAAAACACCAUUUCUUUACAAUUUAACACUUCACAUUUUUUUUGGUUUCAUAAUUUAUAGUCCAAAUCAAAUUAUAAAACCAAAAUUUUAAAAAGAACUCAGUCCAAAUUGAACCGAAUUGAAUUUAUUUUUACCUUGAAAUAAUACUCACUUGAUUUUGACUUUUUUUUGCUAGGAUUUAUACCAUCCUCUAUUAGUUGGUGAUACUAGUGUAGACUAGCUGUUGUAUUAUAUUCAUUUUCUUUUCUGAUUCUUUGGUUAUGUAUUUCUUGGAUGAUGCCGACUAAGUUAGUUAUUAUGGUGUUGAAUCUCUUUGGUUCUCAUUUCCCCUGGUUUUGAUGAUGCUCAUAGCAGCAAGUUUAAUUCUCUUGAUAUUUCUUUCUAACUGUGUCUAACAAUUCAAAGCAAGGAGCCUUCGAUUUUGACCACUAGAUCAGAAUGACUUACAAAAUAAAUAGCUAGGUUCAAUUGUUGCUGCCUAAGGUAACAUAAUAAAGUUUGUCCAGUUUCAUUUUUUAGGUUCACCGUUGUUUUUGUGGUUGGUAAGGUUUUCUGAUUUAUAGGUGUGAUUUUUGAAUUAAAUGUCUACAUUACCUAGAUUUAGUUGAGGUUGGACGUACUCACCUACAUGUUUGAUUUGUUAGAAUAAUUGAGUUAUUGAACUCCAUUUGUAAAUGAUGGAAAAGUGCUAGUGUGCUACAAGAGUUUGUUCUACUAGUUGUUUGUUCUUACUUACAUGUUUGUCCUGCAAGAGAACUCUUUUCAGUCCCUUACCUUUCAAUCUUAUGGGAUUUGGGUAAAAACAAUUAUAUCAAAACAAGUACUUUUUUCCUUUUUAACUCUCUAUGCUCAUCAAAUAAAUAAGUCAAUGUAUUCCCCAAGUAUCUGAAAUUUUACCAUUUGAAAUAGGUGAAUUAAAUUAUCUUUGCUUUAACCUUAAUUUUAAAUCAACUCAUGACACUUACUCUUUGAGAUGUGCAACUAGUCUAUGAAACUUCACUAAUGACAUUUCUGUUGGAAGUUGUGUUAGACAUGUACUGUCACCAAACUCCUUCCCUUAUCUUGUGAGUGCAUGUUUAUUUAUUUUAUUGUUUUUGUGUCAAAGUGAUCAUCUUGUUAUGAUUGUUAUCUUAGUAGUUUUAGGUUGUGGUUUUGGUACAUGGUAUAGGCUGCUGGUUGUGCAAGGGAUGAUCAGAGCAGGUAGAAAUUGAAAGAAAUAUGUCCUUCACCCAAGGUGCAUUAAGUCUAAUACCAAGGUUCAGAUUAAUUGCGAACAAUUAAUUCAGUGAGAUCAAGUGAUCGGAACAGCUAGCUGGAGCAAUGCUUCCGAUCAGUGAGUUCUAAUGGAAAUUGAACUCACAACUUACUCUUGACUGAACCUACAAGGUCACACCAAUGACACGUAACAGAUCAUCGGAUUAAAUGAAUCGGAAAUUCAUUUAAUAGCUUUUCGGGAAUUAGUUGGAAAAACGUAUUAUACGAUACGACCUUGCAUCGGAAUCGUAUAUCGUAUCGCGAAUAUUCGUAAGCUGGGCGACACGAAUAAAUCGUAUCGUACGACGGUGAUUCGUCGUAUACGAAACGAUAAAUAAUAUAUCGGAAAUAUAUUGAAUCGCGAAUACGAAGGGCAUCGGAGUUGCCGGCCCGUCGAGCCACGCACGUAAGCCUGCAAGGCCCAACGAGCCAGCAAGCUCGCGAGCAAAGGCGAACAAGGCCAGCCCAUUGGGCGCGAGCACGCAACAGCACGCAACAGCAGCAACAUGUAGCGACGAGCGAGCAGGUCCAUGGCCCAGCUGCUCGGCGCGCGCGCGCUGUGGGCUUCGGCCUGCAGUGUGUGUUGCUGGGCGGCGGGCUGUGGUCCAUGUGCUUGUGUAUGUGGCCGGUCAAGGCUCUUUAGUCUUGGCCGGUUACAUCAUUAAUACAAUAGGUCAAUUGUAUUAUUCCAACACACACAAUUCUUACUCAAACCCUAGACACAGAGAACCCUAAUUCUCUCUGUGCCUCCAAAGUGUGUUCAUCCCAAAAGCAUAAACUCUUGAUCGAUUGCCUAAGCUACGAUAAUCAAGACGGAUUUGAUCGUGUCGGUUAACCAAGUAGAGGAACGACAUCUGGAGUUCUAAGAUCGUGUUCGUUGACAAUUUGUGGAAAACACGCUUCAAACGUAAGUCUGCUUAAUCUGUGCUUUAUACAUGCUUCCUGGCUUUGGGGAUUGUUUCCGCACAUGUUAUUAUGUUUAACUGUAUUCCCCUACAGUGGUAUCAUGAGCCUUAUGUAUUCAAAGCAUGAAUUAGCAUGAUUUAAUUGCUUUUUCAUCUGUCGAAAAUUUUGAAUUUUUUGUUGAA
Long non-coding RNA from Spinacia oleracea (spinach), 3493 nucleotides. RefSeq lists it as uncharacterized. The transcript has 3 exons. The record is from RefSeq and is a predicted model, not a curated record. Lineage: Eukaryota; Viridiplantae; Streptophyta; Magnoliopsida; Caryophyllales; Amaranthaceae.